This 253-nucleotide ribosomal RNA is filed under the name uncultured bacterium. RNAcentral's name for it is "partial 16S ribosomal RNA". It matches the Rfam family "Bacterial small subunit ribosomal RNA", at positions 524 to 776 of the family's 1533-position model. The record is from RNAcentral.
UACGUAGGGGCCGAGCGUUGUCCGGAGUUAUUGGGCGUAAAGCGCGCGCAGGCGGCCUCGCGCGCCCGACGUGAAAGCCCCCGGCUUAACCGGGGAGGGUCGUUGGGGACGGCGGGGCUUGAGGGCGGGAGAGGGUGGUGGAAUUCCCGGUGUAGUGGUGAAAUGCGUAGAGAUCGGGAGGAACACCCGUGGCGAAGGCGGCCACCUGGGCCGGCCCUGACGCUGAGGCGCGAAGGCGUGGGGAGCGAACGGG